CCUUUAGAGUUUGAUCCUGGCUCAGGAUGAACGCUGGCGGCGUGCUUAACACAUGCAAGUCGAACGGUGAAGCCAAGCUUGCUUGGUGGAUCAGUGGCGAACGGGUGAGUAACACGUGAGCAACCUGCCCUGGACUCUGGGAUAAGCGCUGGAAACGGCGUCUAAUACUGGAUAUGAGACGUGAUCGCAUGGUCGUGUUUGGAAAGAUUUUUCGGUCUGGGAUGGGCUCGCGGCCUAUCAGCUUGUUGGUGAGGUAAUGGCUCACCAAGGCGUCGACGGGUAGCCGGCCUGAGAGGGUGACCGGCCACACUGGGACUGAGACACGGCCCAGACUCCUACGGGAGGCAGCAGUGGGGAAUAUUGCACAAUGGGCGAAAGCCUGAUGCAGCAACGCCGCGUGAGGGAUGACGGCCUUCGGGUUGUAAACCU
RNAcentral lists this ribosomal RNA (429 nucleotides) under Microbacterium sp. RKVR_V8. RNAcentral's name for it is "bacterial SSU rRNA". It matches the Rfam family "Bacterial small subunit ribosomal RNA", at positions 1 to 432 of the family's 1533-position model. The record is from RNAcentral. Lineage: Bacteria; Bacillati; Actinomycetota; Actinomycetes; Micrococcales; Microbacteriaceae.